RNAcentral lists this ribosomal RNA (253 nucleotides) under uncultured bacterium. RNAcentral's name for it is "partial 16S ribosomal RNA". It matches the Rfam family "Bacterial small subunit ribosomal RNA", at positions 524 to 776 of the family's 1533-position model. The record is from RNAcentral.
UACGUAGGGGGCAAGCGUUGUCCGGAAUUAUUGGGCGUAAAGCGCGCGCAGGCGGUUUCUUAAGUCUGAUGUGAAAGCCCACGGCUUAACCUUGGAGGGUCAUUGGAAACUUGGGAACUUGAGUACAGAAGAGGAGAGUGGAAUUCCACGUGUAGCGGUGAAAUGCGUAGAUAUGUGGAGGAACACCAGUGGCGAAGGCGACUCUCUGGUCUGUAACUGAAGCUGAGGCGCGAAAGCGUGGGGAGCGAACAGG